Molecule: ribosomal RNA, 992 nt
Filed under: Heterochromis multidens
Lineage: Eukaryota; Metazoa; Chordata; Actinopteri; Cichliformes; Cichlidae
Description: partial 16S ribosomal RNA
Rfam family: Bacterial large subunit ribosomal RNA (bases 189-992)
Source: RNAcentral
CGCCUAACAGCUAGCCCACCCAACAACACCAACACUACCCUAUCCAUACCCUUAAAAUAUACCCCAUUAAACAAAUAAACCAUUUUUUUCCCCUGAGUAUAGGCGAUAAAAAAGGAACCAGGAGCAAUAGAGAAAGUACCGCAAGGGAACGCUGAAAGAGAAAUGAAAAAACCCAGUAAAGCACUAAAAAGCAGAGACUUCCCCCCUCGUACCUUUUGCAUCAUGUUUUAGCAAGCAACUACUUAAGCAAAAAGUUUUGUAGUUUAAUAUCCCGAAACUAAGUGAGCUACUCCAAGACAGCCUAAUACAGGGCAACCCCGUCUCUGUGGCAAAAGAGUGGGAUGAGCUUCGAGUAGAGGUGACAGACCUACCGAACUUAGUUAUAGCUGGUUGCCUGAAAAUUGAAUAGAAGUUCAGCCCUUUAAAUUCUUCACUUAAUUUGACCCAUAACCUGCCUACAAAACAAAAGAAUUUUAAAGGAGUUAGUCAAAGGGGGUACAGCCCCUUUGAAAUAAGACACAACUUCCCCGAGCGGAUAAAGAUCAUAAUAUAUAAGGACUACAGUGCCAUAGUGGGCCUAAAAGCAGCCACCCAAACAGAAAGCGUUAAAGCUCAAGCACCGCCCCGCCCUCCACCAAUACCGACAACCAUUUCUUAUUCCCCCAACCUUAUCAGGCCUUUCUAUAGCCCAAAUAUAGAAGUACUUAUGCUAAUAUGAGUAAUAAGAGAACACAGACUCUCUCCUUGCACAAGUGUAAAUCGGAACGGACUCACCACCGAACAUUAACAAUCCCAACCACAGAGGGUAUUGGAAUAAAAAUAAACCACUAGAAAACCAUCCAAUAAUUUACCGUUAAUCCCACACUGGUGUGCUCGCAGGAAAGACUAAAAGAAAAAGAAGGAACUCGGCAAACAUAAGCCUCGCCUGUUUACCAAAAACAUCGCCUCUUGAAAACACAACAUAAGAGGUCCCGCCUGCCCUGUGACCAUAG